GAUGAACGCUGGCGGCGUGCCUAAUACAUGCAAGUCGAGCGAACAGACGAGGAGCUUGCUCCUCUGACGUUAGCGGCGGACGGGUGAGUAACACGUGGAUAACCUACCUAUAAGACUGGGAUAACUUCGGGAAACCGGAGCUAAUACCGGAUAAUAUAUUGAACCGCAUGGUUCAAUAGUGAAAGACGGUUUUGCUGUCACUUAUAGAUGGAUCCGCGCCGCAUUAGCUAGUUGGUAAGGUAACGGCUUACCAAGGCGACGAUGCGUAGCCGACCUGAGAGGGUGAUCGGCCACCAUGGAACUGCGACACGGUCCAGACUCCUACGGGAGGAAGCAGUAGGGAAUCUUCCGCAAUGGGCGAAAGCCUGACGGAGCAACGCCGCGUGAGUGAUGAAGGUCUUCGGAUCGUAAAACUCUGUUAUUAGGGAAGAACAAAUGUGUAAGUAACUAUGCACGUCUUGACGGUACCUAAUCAGAAAGCCACGGCUAACUACGUG
RNAcentral lists this ribosomal RNA (497 nucleotides) under uncultured bacterium. RNAcentral's name for it is "partial 16S ribosomal RNA". It matches the Rfam family "Bacterial small subunit ribosomal RNA", at positions 28 to 507 of the family's 1533-position model. The record is from RNAcentral.